ACAUUUUCAAGCCGAACCGAAUUGAGCCAAUUAACUCUAUUCGUUUGGCCCAAAUAUCCUAACUUGUUAGCCCAAAAGAUAAUACAGUAAUAAACUCUCGUUCUUGAGCGCACCGUAAAAAGUUCAAUCAAGGAGUGUCAUUGUGUCAAGUUAGGGUUAGGUCCAAAUUUUUUUAUGGUGACUUUAUCUACUAAUGAGUAAUGAGUAAUGACCCCAUUUUAUUUAUCAUCUUCAACAAAACAGAACUCAAAACCAAUGGCAGAACCAUCACCAAACGAAGAAGACUACUCUGCCUCAGCAACCCUCAUCCACUUCGACCGCCCUCUUCCUCUCCUCCGCCGCCCCAUUCCCGACGGCCCGACCGACGACCCGGAACUCGGCCCAUUCGUCUUAGCAUUCCCUAACCCGCAAUCCUUCUACUCUUCCCUCAAAUUCUGCGAGUCGAAGCUUCUGGAGCUGUGUGAAGCAGGGGUACGAAUUGGGUGCUCCAUAACCGCAUCAAACAACUGUAAAUCUCCUUGGUGGAAGACCCUUUUCGGGAAAAUCGAUUUCAAAGAGAGAAACGAGUGUGAGGAGAGAGAAAUGGCUGCUUGUCUUCAAGGGUCGAAGGAAAAAUGUGGGGAGUUAUCCAAGGAGAAGUGUUUGGGCCCGUUUGGGUCGGCCCGGAUUGCUUGUAGAGAGAGAAAGUUGAGGAAGAAGGAGGUGGGUGAGUUGAUUUCUUGGGUCUCGGGUUUGGGUCUUUUCAAUGGGAAUUUAGGGUUUGAAAUGUUGGCUGGGAAUCAAUUGGGGUUGCUUUCUGUAUUGGAUUUGAGUUAUGAAGUCACUAAUUUUAGAGGGUCCGAGCUAUUGGGAGAUAGAAAUCAACCCAAUUGAUGGAGAAAUAUUUUUGUAUUUUUAAUCUGAUUGUUGAGGUGUAUAGAGGGCCGCAAAGGGAAAUGAUGUAGACGAGAUUUGUCCGAGGUCUAGCAUAGAGAGCCAUAAAGACAAUGAUGGUAGAAAGAUAAGAAACAUUGUUGAAGAUAGGAGUGUUUUUUCAGGUAUAAUACCUCAAUUUGUGCCUUUGAGUGGGAAACUUUGCCUUUUGGGGGGUUUUUCAGAUCAGUGUUGUGGCUCAUAUUGCGAAUUUAUGACCUUGAGAUAAUUAUGGGAUGUAUUGUGUGAUUCUGAUUACAGUGAAAUCGCUGAGUUGAAUUUCAGAGCAUGUUUGGUAAUUGAAGACUAUUUGGGGGUACAAUGAAAAAUAUAUUGCAUUGGCUUUAACAAGUCAGGUUAUCUGAGUUGCUUAUUAUAUUGGUAGAAAGAUGGAACCUACUGAACUAUUGUAAUGGCCAGUGGCUGGGCUAGAGGAAGAGCAUGUAAUAAGGUCUCGACUGACAAGAUUCAAGCUUCCUCGACUGCACAUAUAGGAGCUGUUGUAUAUGUUUCGUUAUCUGUUGCGCCACAACUUCAGGUUUUGGCAUCAACACUACAUUGGUUUUAGCCUUGUGGGCUAUUUUUAAGAAUCCCUUUCUGGUCAUUUUGCAUGUGUAAUCAGUAUCGGCAUAACAUAAGGAUGGUGUAUAUAGAAUUUUCUAUUAGGAACAGAUGAAUUGAUGAAUAAGUAUUAAUUAUAGUAUUUGAAGGCUACUAAUUAUUGCAUUA
Chenopodium quinoa (quinoa) is the source of this 1641-nucleotide long non-coding RNA. RefSeq lists it as uncharacterized. The record is from RefSeq and is a predicted model, not a curated record. The transcript has 2 exons. Lineage: Eukaryota; Viridiplantae; Streptophyta; Magnoliopsida; Caryophyllales; Amaranthaceae.